CCUACGGGCGGCAGCAGUGGGGAAUAUUGGACAAUGGGGGCAACCCUGAUCCAGCCAUGCCGCGUGUGUGAAGAAGGCCCUCGGGUUGUAAAGCACUUUCAGUGAGGAAGAACGCCUGGUGGUUAAUACCCAUCAGGAAAGACAUCACUCACAGAAGAAGCACCGGCUAACUCCGUGCCAGCAGCCGCGGUAAUACGGAGGGUGCGAGCGUUAAUCGGAAUUACUGGGCGUAAAGCGCGCGUAGGUGGCUUGAUAAGCCGGUUGUGAAAGCCCCGGGCUCAACCUGGGAACGGCAUCCGGAACUGUCAAGCUAGAGUGCAGGCGAGGAAGGUAGAAUUCCCGGUGUAGCGGUGAAAUGCGUAGAGAUCGGGAGGAAUACCAGUGGCGAAGGCGGCCUUCUGGACUGACACUGACACUGAGGUGCGAAAGCGUGGGUAGCAAACAGGAUUAGAUACCCGGGUAGUC
RNAcentral lists this ribosomal RNA (465 nucleotides) under Vreelandella stevensii. RNAcentral describes it as "partial 16S ribosomal RNA". It matches the Rfam family "Bacterial small subunit ribosomal RNA", at positions 338 to 795 of the family's 1533-position model. The record is from RNAcentral. Lineage: Bacteria; Pseudomonadati; Pseudomonadota; Gammaproteobacteria; Oceanospirillales; Halomonadaceae.